CACUAUUUUGUCAAUUUUCUCCAAACAGGUCAUGAUGGUACAAUUACUGAGAAAAACAUCCUGUUUGCAUUUGUAUUCUCCGCAUUAUCAUUUGAUACUCAACUGCCUGAGCUUGGCAGAUGGGUUAAGAGAGAUAAUACUGGAAAGCACCUGUUCUGUUGUGUGUAGAGUUGUGUGGUCAUCUCUGUAGUGAAUCUUUCCCAUCAAAGCAACAGUGGGACCAAACCAGACAGGUAAGUAGAAAGUAAAUGAAAGGUCCAUGUAAAUGGACAGCAAAACAAUGGUCUAAAGGGCUGGAGAAAUGACUCAGAGGUUAAAAGCACUGACUGCUCUUUGAGAG
This 340-nucleotide long non-coding RNA is filed under the name Rattus norvegicus (Norway rat). RNAcentral describes it as "long non-coding RNA NONRATT032010". Lineage: Eukaryota; Metazoa; Chordata; Mammalia; Rodentia; Muridae. The record is from RNAcentral.